GCUGCGGCUGGUCGGCGCGGACGACGACGCGCCGUCGCUGGUCACCCAGGUGGCGGGCAACGGGCUGAUGCUGACGUUCGUGUCGAUGUCGCUGCU
This 96-nucleotide transfer RNA is filed under the name Sphaerisporangium siamense. Its description in RNAcentral is "tRNA-Ala". Lineage: Bacteria; Bacillati; Actinomycetota; Actinomycetes; Streptosporangiales; Streptosporangiaceae. The record is from RNAcentral.